Molecule: long non-coding RNA, 920 nt
Organism: Daphnia pulicaria
Lineage: Eukaryota; Metazoa; Arthropoda; Branchiopoda; Diplostraca; Daphniidae
Exons: 5
Source: RefSeq, a predicted model, not a curated record
ACUUGUCUUUCAAACUCCACUGCCAGGUGGCAGGUAAUACAAUCGUGCCCGGUGCUCCCGCUUUGCCCGUGACCAUGGCCUGCAUUUCAUAUGUCGAAGCCCUGCCAAACCUGCCAAACCAGGUCAAGCUAUCGUAAAAUACCAGCAGGAUUCUAAAUUUAGAAAAGGAGAAACAGCUUGCAGACCGCACACACAGGGAUGUAAGAUUGAAUGUGCUCAUUUUCAGAUUUCCAAUCAAUUUGUUGAGCAGUGUUACAAGCUUUUCCUUGCACACAUCAGAGAAUCGGCUGAAUCACCAUCCACGUUCCGUGAAGAAGUGGAGAAAUAAAGUGCUGCAAAAUCAUUAAGUACGCACUCAAGUAGGCCUAACUACUGCAAAUGGGUUCAACUCUAUUAGAAGUCAAGUCAAUGCCACCAACAGAGAAUGUCCUCAGAGAGGUUGUCUCACAUCUACCCAGUGUACGUUGCAGGAAUUCUCAUCCACAUAGUGUAUGUCAUGCAUUGCAUCAAAAGUUCAUUCAACACAAGCCAUCUGCAAGAGAAGUCCGCCAAUGUUUCACCAACAGUGUGGCUCCCAUUAUGAACGUAAAUUAAUUAUUUUGUUUCUCACUUGGGCCCAGUUCUAGUUUGAUCACGACAUGACAAAUACCGGAACCACUAGAGACAAGAAUGCAUGUUCAACUCUAUUACAAGUCAAAUCAUUGCUGCAAAGGGAGAAUGUCCACACAGAGGCUGUCUCUUAUCCGCACAUUUCAGAACAUGAAAAGGGAAGAUUCAUAUGCCUGCAGGAACAAAUCGAAAUUCCCGCCCUCGUGAUGAAUUCUCAACCGACUGCACAACGCGAUGGAAAUUAUUCGCCACUGAGGUGAAUGGCAUAAUUGAUUGGGUAUUCAAACAAUCUUGGUACCUAUUCUUCACAC